This 405-nucleotide ribosomal RNA is filed under the name uncultured bacterium. RNAcentral's name for it is "bacterial SSU rRNA". It matches the Rfam family "Bacterial small subunit ribosomal RNA", at positions 355 to 776 of the family's 1533-position model. The record is from RNAcentral.
UGGGGAAUAUUGCACAAUGGGGGAAACCCUGAUGCAGCGACGCCGCGUGAGCGAGGAAGUAUUUCGGUAUGUAAAGCUCUGUCAGCAGGGAAGAAGAAUGACGGUACCUGAAGAAGAAGCACCGGCUAAAUACGUGCCAGCAGCCGCGGUAAUACGUAUGGUGCAAGCGUUAUCCGGAUUUACUGGGUGUAAAGGGAGCGCAGGCGGUACUGCAAGUCUGGUGUGAAAGCCCGGGGCUCAACCCCGGGACUGCACUGGAAACUGCAGGACUGGAGUGUCGGAGGGGUAAGCGGAAUUCCUGGUGUAGCGGUGAAAUGCGUAGAUAUCAGGAGGAACACCGGUGGCGAAGGCGGCUUACUGGACGAUGACUGACGCUGAGGCUCGAAAGCGUGGGGAGCAAACAGG